AUUGAACGCUGGCGGCAUGCUUUACACAUGCAAGUCGAACGGUAACAGGUUAAGCUGACGAGUGGCGAACGGGUGAGUAAUGCAUCGGAACGUGCCCGGUCGUGGGGGAUAACGCAGCGAAAGCUGCGCUAAUACCGCAUACGUUCUGAGGAUGAAAGCGGGGGACCGUAAGGCCUCGCGCGAUCGGAGCGGCCGAUGUCAGAUUAGGUAGUUGGUGGGGUAAAGGCUCACCAAGCCAACGAUCUGUAGCUGGUCUGAGAGGACGACCAGCCACACUGGGACUGAGGCACGGCCCAGACUCCUACGGGAGGCAGCAGUGGGGAAUUUUGGACAAUGGGCGAAAGCCUGAUCCAGCAAUGCCGCGUGCAGGAAGAAGGCCUUCGGGUUGUAAACUGCUUUUGUACGGAGCGAAAAGGUCUCCUCUAAUACAGGGGGCUCAUGACGGUACCGUAAGAAUAAGCACCGGCUAACUACGUGCCAGCCGCCGCAGUAA
This 493-nucleotide ribosomal RNA is filed under the name uncultured bacterium. RNAcentral describes it as "partial 16S ribosomal RNA". It matches the Rfam family "Bacterial small subunit ribosomal RNA", at positions 30 to 523 of the family's 1533-position model. The record is from RNAcentral.